RNAcentral lists this small nuclear RNA (96 nucleotides) under Angiostrongylus costaricensis. The record is from RNAcentral. Lineage: Eukaryota; Metazoa; Nematoda; Chromadorea; Rhabditida; Metastrongylidae.
GUUCAUUUCUGAACAUAUACUAAAAUUGGAACAAUACGGAAAAGAUUAACAUGGCCGCUGCACGCGACGACACCUAAAUUCACCCAACGUACAUUU